GACGAACGCUGGCGGCGUGCUUAACACAUGCAAGUCGAGCGGUAAGGCCUCUUCGGGGGUACACGAGCGGCGAACGGGUGCGUAACAGGAGGGUGACCUGCCCCCAGCUCUGGGAUAAGCAUGGGAACCUGGGACCAAUACCGGUAAUGAAUUUUCUUCGCAUGGGGUUUGGUGGAAAGUUUUUUCGGCUGGGGAUGGCCCCGCGGCCUAUCAGCUUGUUGGUGGGGUGAUGGCGUACCAAGGCGACGAAGGGUAGCCGGCCUGCGAGGCCGACCGGCCACACUGGGAGUGAGGCACGGGCCGGACUCCUACGGGAGACAGCGGUGGGGAGUAGUGCGCAAGGGGCGGAAGCCUGACGCAGCGACGCAGCGUGGGGGACGACGGCCUGGGGGUUGUAAACCUCUUUCGAACCCGACGAAUUUGGACGGUAGGGGUAGAAGAAGCACCGGCCAACUACGUG
Molecule: ribosomal RNA, 460 nt
Filed under: uncultured bacterium
Lineage: Bacteria
Description: partial 16S ribosomal RNA
Rfam family: Bacterial small subunit ribosomal RNA
Source: RNAcentral